RNAcentral lists this ribosomal RNA (460 nucleotides) under uncultured bacterium. RNAcentral describes it as "partial 16S ribosomal RNA". It matches the Rfam family "Bacterial small subunit ribosomal RNA", at positions 338 to 795 of the family's 1533-position model. The record is from RNAcentral.
CCUACGGGAGGCAGCAGUGAGGAAUAUUGGUCAAUGGGCGCAAGUCUGAACCAGCCAAGCCGCGUGAAGGAUGACUGCCCUAUGGGUUGUAAACUUCUUUUAUAAGGGAAUAAAGUGAGGCACGUGUGCCUUUUUGUAAGUACUUUAUGAAUAAGGAUCGGCUAACUCCGUGCCAGCAGCCGCGGUAAUACGGAGGAUCCGAGCGUUAUCCGGAUUUAUUGGGUUUAAAGGGAGCGUAGAUGGGUUGUUAAGUCAGUGGUGAAAGGUUGCGGCUCAACCGGAAAAGUGCAAUUGAUACUGGCAGCCUAGAGUGCAGAUGCGGUAGGCGGAAUGCGUGGUGUAGCGGUGAAAUGCUUAGAUAUCACGAAGAACACCGAUUGCGAAGGCAGCCUACGAAACUGCCACUGACGUUGAGGCACGAAAGUGUGGGUAUCAAACAGGAUUAGAUACCCGAGUAGUC